GACAUAAUGCAACUAGCACAAUUAUACGACCGUACCGCAAACCGACACUGGUGCGCGAGAUGAGUAUUCUAAGGCGCUUGAGAGAACUCAGGAGAAGGAACUCGGCAAAUUGACACCGUAACUUCGGAAGAAGGUGUGCCCUAUUAGUGUGAAGUGAACAACGGAGCAUGAAUGGGUUGCAAAAAAUCGGUGGCUGCGACUGUUUAUUAAAAACACAGCACUCUGCAAACACGAAAGUGGACGUAUAGGGUGUGACGCCUGCCCGGUGCUGGAAGAUUAAAUGAUGGGGUGCAAGCUCUUGAUUGAAGUCCCAGUAAACGGCGGCCGUAACGAUAACGGUCCUAAGGUAGCGAAAUUCCUUGUCGGGUAAGUUCCGACCUGCACGAAUGGCGUAACGAUGGCCACACUGUCUCCUCCUGAGACUCAGCGAAGUUGAAAUGUUUGUGAUGAUGCAAUCUCCCCGCGGAAAGACGGAAAGACCCCAUGAACCUUUACUGUAGCUUUGUAUUGGACUUUGAACAGAUCUGUGUAGGAUAGGUGGGAGGCUUUGAAGCAGGGUCGCUAGAUCUUGUGGAGCCAACGUUGAAAUACCACCCUGGUGUGUUUGAGGUUCUAACCUAGGUCCAUUAUCUGGAUCGGGGACAGUGCAUGGUAGGCAGUUUGACUGGGGCGGUCUCCUCCCAAAGCGUAACGGAGGAGUUCGAAGGUACGCUAGUUACGGUCGGACAUCGUGACGAUAGUGCAAUGGCAUAAGCGUGCUUAACUGCGAGACUGACAAGUCGAGCAGAUGCGAAAGCAGGACAUAGUGAUCCGGUGGUUCUGUAUGGAAGGGCCAUCGCUCAACGGAUAAAAGGUACUCUGGGGAUAACAGGCUGAUACCGCCCAAGAGUUCAUAUCGACGGCGGUGUUUGGCACCUCGAUGUCGGCUCAUCUCAUCCUGGGGCUGUAGCCGGUCCCAAGGGUAUGGCUGUUCGCCAUUUAAAGAGGUACGUGAGCUGGGUUUAAAACGUCGUGAGACAGUUUGGUCCCUAUCUUCCGUGGGCGCUGCAGAUUUGAGGAAGCCUGCUCCUAGUACGAGAGGACCGGCGUGGACACACCUCUGGUGUAUCGGUUGUCACGCCAGUGGCAUUGCCGAGUAGCUAAGUGUGGAAGAGAUAACCGCUGAAAGCAUCUAAGCGGGAAACUCGUUUCAAGAUGAGAUCUGCCGGGGCCUUGAGCCCCCUGAAGAGUCGUUCAAGACCAGGACGUUGAUAGGUCAGGUGUGGAAGC
Molecule: ribosomal RNA, 1269 nt
Filed under: metagenome
Description: bacterial LSU rRNA
Rfam family: Bacterial large subunit ribosomal RNA
Source: RNAcentral